This 393-nucleotide ribosomal RNA is filed under the name uncultured bacterium. Its description in RNAcentral is "bacterial SSU rRNA". It matches the Rfam family "Bacterial small subunit ribosomal RNA", at positions 505 to 898 of the family's 1533-position model. The record is from RNAcentral.
GUGUCAGCCGCCGCGGUAAAACGUAGGAGGCGAGCGUUAUCCGGAUUCACUGGGCGUAAAGCGCGUGUAGGUGGCUCGUUAAGUCGCUGGUGAAAGCCCCUGGCUCAACUGGGGGAGGUCUAGCGAAACUGGCGGACUCGAGGGUCCGAGAGGAAGGUGGAAUUCCCGGUGUAGCGGUGGAAUGCGUAGAGAUCGGGAGGAACACCAGUGGCGAAGGCGGCCUUCUGGCGGGCAUCUGACACUGAGACGCGAAAGCGUGGGGAGCAAACGGGAUUAGAUACCCCGGUAGUCCACGCCCUAAACGAUGCAGGCUAGGUGUUGGUGGGAUUUCCCAUCCGUGCCGUAGCGAACGCGUUAAGCCUGCCGCCUGGGGACUACGAGCGCAAGCUUAAA